UACGUAGGUGACCAGCGUUGUCCGGAUUUACUGGGCGUAAAGAGCACGCAGGCGGUCGUUCAAGUCGAGUGUGAAAGCCCCCGGCUCAACUGGGGAGGGUCACUUGAUACUGAUCGACUCGAAGGCAGGAGAGGGAAGCGGAAUUCCCGGUGUAGUGGUGAAAUGCGUAGAUAUCGGGAGGAACACCAGUGGCGAAGGCGGCUUCCUGGCCUGUUCUUGACGCUGAGGCGCGAAAGCUAGGGGAGCAAACGGG
RNAcentral lists this ribosomal RNA (253 nucleotides) under uncultured bacterium. RNAcentral's name for it is "partial 16S ribosomal RNA". It matches the Rfam family "Bacterial small subunit ribosomal RNA", at positions 524 to 776 of the family's 1533-position model. The record is from RNAcentral.